AGCGAACGCUGGCGGCAUGCCUAACACAUGCAAGUCUGACGGGCUUGGGGUUUCGGCCCUAGGUCAGUGGCGGACGGGUGAGGAGCGCGUAGGAACGUAUCCAAGGGUGGGGGACAACCGCGGGAAACUGCGGCUAAGACCGCAUGCGGCCUGAGGGCCAAAGCCGGGUGACCGGCGCCUAUGGAGCGGCCUGCGUCCGAUUAGCUGGUUGGUGGGGUAACGGCCUACCAAGGCGGUGAUCGGUAGCUGGUCUGAGAGGAUGAUCAGCCACACUGGG
This 277-nucleotide ribosomal RNA is filed under the name uncultured bacterium. RNAcentral's name for it is "partial 16S ribosomal RNA". It matches the Rfam family "Bacterial small subunit ribosomal RNA", at positions 28 to 317 of the family's 1533-position model. The record is from RNAcentral.